GAUGAACGCUAGCGGCAGGCUUAACACAUGCAAGUCGAGCGGCAGCACGGGUACUUGUACCUGGUGGCGAGCGGCGGACGGGUGAGUAAUGCCUAGGAAUCUGCCUGGUAGUGGGGGAUAACGCUCGGAAACGGACGCUAAUACCGCAUACGUCCUACGGGAGAAAGCAGGGGACCUUCGGGCCUUGCGCUAUCAGAUGA
Molecule: ribosomal RNA, 200 nt
Filed under: uncultured bacterium
Lineage: Bacteria
Description: partial 16S ribosomal RNA
Rfam family: Bacterial small subunit ribosomal RNA
Source: RNAcentral